GACGAACGCUGGCGGCGUGCCUAAUACAUGCAAGUAGAACGCUGAAGAGAGGAGCUUGCUCUUCUUGGCUGAGUUGCGAACGGGUGAGUAACGCGUAGGUAACCUGCCUUGUAGCGGGGGAUAACUAUUGGAAACGAUAGCUAAUACCGCAUAACAAUGGAUGACACAUGUCAUUUAUUUGAAAGGGGCAAUUGCUCCACUACAAGAUGGACCUGCGUUGUAUUAGCUAGUAGGUGAGGUAAUGGCUCACCUAGGCGACGAUACAUAGCCGACCUGAGAGGGUGAGCGGCCACACUGGAACUGAGACACGGCCCAGACUCCUACGGGAUGCAGCAGUAGGGAAUCUUCGGCAAUGGGGGCAACCCUGACCGAGCAACGCCGCGUGAGUGAAGAAGGUUUUCGGAUCGUAAAGCUCUGUUGUAAGUCAAGAACGGGUGUGAGAGUGGAAAGUUCACACUGUGACGGUAGCUUACCAGAAAGGGACGGCUAACUACGUG
Molecule: ribosomal RNA, 497 nt
Filed under: uncultured bacterium
Lineage: Bacteria
Description: partial 16S ribosomal RNA
Rfam family: Bacterial small subunit ribosomal RNA
Source: RNAcentral